GACGAACGCUGGCGGCGUGCUUAACACAUGCAAGUCGAACGGAAAGGCCCUGCUUUUGUGGGGUGCUCGAGUGGCGAACGGGUGAGUAACACGUGAGUAACCUGCCCUUGACUUUGGGAUAACUUCAGGAAACUGGGGCUAAUACCGGAUAGGAGCUCCUGCUGCAUGGUGGGGGUUGGAAAGUUUCGGCGGUUGGGGAUGGACUCGCGGCUUAUCAGCUUGUUUGUGGGGUAGUGGCUUUCCAAGGCUUUGACGGGUAGCCGGCCUGAGAGGGUGACCGGCCACAUUGGGACUGAGAUACGGCCCAGACUCCUACGGGAGGCAGCAGUGGGGAAUAUUGCACAAUGGGCGGAAGCCUGAUGCAGAAACGCCGCGUGCGGGAUAACGGCCUUCGGGUUGUAAACCGCUGUCGCCUGUGACGAAGCGUGAGUGACGGUAAUGGGUAAAGAAGCACCGGCUAACUACGUG
RNAcentral lists this ribosomal RNA (468 nucleotides) under uncultured bacterium. Its description in RNAcentral is "partial 16S ribosomal RNA". It matches the Rfam family "Bacterial small subunit ribosomal RNA", at positions 28 to 507 of the family's 1533-position model. The record is from RNAcentral.